RNAcentral lists this small RNA (83 nucleotides) under Epilithonimonas lactis. Its description in RNAcentral is "Chryseobacterium halperniae Flavo-1 RNA". The record is from RNAcentral. Lineage: Bacteria; Pseudomonadati; Bacteroidota; Flavobacteriia; Flavobacteriales; Weeksellaceae.
CCGCAGCCCGGCUUGAGUGGAAAUCCUUUUUUGUGGCUGGAAAGCGUAGGCAAAAAAGAUUGGGAACGGAAGACGGAAAAGCU